AGAACGAACGCUGGCGGCAUGCCUAAUACAUGCAAGUCGGACGAACUCUUCGGAGUUAGUGGCGCACGGGUGCGUAACGCGUGGGAAUCUGCCCCUUGGUUCGGAAUAACAGUUGGAAACGACUGCUAAUACCGGAUGAUGACGAAAGUCCAAAGAUUUAUCGCCAAGGGAUGAGCCCGCGUAGGAUUAGCUAGUUGGUGAGGUAAAGGCUCACCAAGGCAACGAUCCUUAGCUGGUCUGAGAGGAUGAACUCGACG
RNAcentral lists this ribosomal RNA (257 nucleotides) under uncultured soil bacterium. RNAcentral's name for it is "partial 16S ribosomal RNA". It matches the Rfam family "Bacterial small subunit ribosomal RNA", at positions 26 to 312 of the family's 1533-position model. The record is from RNAcentral.